RNAcentral lists this ribosomal RNA (228 nucleotides) under Staphylococcus aureus. RNAcentral's name for it is "partial 23S ribosomal RNA". It matches the Rfam family "Bacterial large subunit ribosomal RNA", at positions 1 to 226 of the family's 2925-position model. Lineage: Bacteria; Bacillati; Bacillota; Bacilli; Caryophanales; Staphylococcaceae. The record is from RNAcentral.
GAUUAAGUUAUUAAGGGCGCACGGUGGAUGCCUUGGCACUAGAAGCCGAUGAAGGACGUUACUAACGACGAUAUGCUUUGGGGAGCUGUAAGUAAGCUUUGAUCCAGAGAUUUCCGAAUGGGGAAACCCAGCAUGAGUUAUGUCAUGUUAUCGAUAUGUGAAUACAUAGCAUAUCAGAAGGCACACCCGGAGAACUGAAACAUCUUAGUACCCGGAGGAAGAAAAAGA